Molecule: small nuclear RNA, 104 nt
Organism: Peromyscus californicus insignis
Lineage: Eukaryota; Metazoa; Chordata; Mammalia; Rodentia; Cricetidae
Source: RefSeq, a predicted model, not a curated record
GUGCUUGCUUUGGCAGCACAUAUACUAAAAUUCAAAUGAUAUAGUGAUAGCAGGAUCUCCUGCACAGGAUGACAUGUAAAUUCAAGACACUGCUGUAGGUUUUU